This 254-nucleotide non-coding RNA is filed under the name Agrilactobacillus composti. RNAcentral describes it as "Lactobacillus composti T-box sequence". It matches the Rfam family "T-box leader". Rfam says of the family: Uncharged tRNA acts as the effector for transcription antitermination of genes in the T-box leader family. The record is from RNAcentral. Lineage: Bacteria; Bacillati; Bacillota; Bacilli; Lactobacillales; Lactobacillaceae.
UAAAUUGCUAUGAAAAGAUGAGUAUAAUUCUAUGUGAAUUCACAGAGAGCCCGGAAGAUGGAAAAGGGUAAUGUCACCGAAUUAGAAGAUGGUCUUGAAGCAGUGCAUGUUUGAAUCCUUUGGAUGAGGACAUGAUGGGUGCGCCCAUUAGCGCGUUACGGUUUACCAGGCUUGACCUGGGCGAACCGGUCGAGGCAUGUUGUGUGAGCAAUAUGCAAAAUAAGGUGGUAACACGUCAAUGAGACGCCCUUAGC